GACGAACGCUGGCGGCGUGCCUAAUACAUGCAAGUCGAGCGCAGGAAAUCGACGGAACCCUUCGGGGGGAAGUCGACGGAAUGAGCGGCGGACGGGUGAGUAACACGUAAAGAACCUGCCCUCAGGUCUGGGAUAACCACGAGAAAUCGGGGCUAAUACCGGAUGGGUCAUCGGACCGCAUGGUCCGAGGAUGAAAGGCGCUUCGGCGUCGCCUGGGGAUGGCUUUGCGGUGCAUUAGCUAGUUGGUGGGGUAAUGGCCCACCAAGGCGACGGUGCAGAGCCGACCUGGGAGGGUGAUCGGCCACACUGGGACUGAGACACGGCCCAGACUCCUACGGGAGGCAGCAGUAGGGAAUCUUCCACAAUGGACGAAAGUCUGAUGGAGCAACGCCGCGUGAACGAUGAAGGCCUUCGGGUCGUAAAGUUCUGUUGUAAGGGAAGAACAAGUGCCGCAGGCAAUGGCGGCACCUUGACGGUACCUUGCGAGAAAGCCACGGCUAACUACGUGCCAGCAGCCGCCGUAA
This 524-nucleotide ribosomal RNA is filed under the name uncultured bacterium. RNAcentral's name for it is "partial 16S ribosomal RNA". It matches the Rfam family "Bacterial small subunit ribosomal RNA", at positions 28 to 523 of the family's 1533-position model. The record is from RNAcentral.